GGUGUUAUGGCUCAGUGGUACGGGCUUCGCUUCUCAAGCAAACGGGCCAGGGUUCGAAUCCAGGUAAGAUCA
This is a non-coding RNA of Nematostella vectensis (starlet sea anemone), 72 nucleotides long. NCBI's taxonomy places the organism in Eukaryota, Metazoa, Cnidaria, Anthozoa, Actiniaria, Edwardsiidae. The record is from Rfam.